Molecule: long non-coding RNA, 649 nt
Organism: Herpailurus yagouaroundi (jaguarundi)
Lineage: Eukaryota; Metazoa; Chordata; Mammalia; Carnivora; Felidae
Exons: 3
Source: RefSeq, a predicted model, not a curated record
CUGAGCUGAAAUUGGAGGCUUAACCGACAGAGCCACCCAGGCACCCCAAAGGGAAACUUGAUUUAGAAUGGAGUCAGGAAGGCCUAGAGGGACGCUCUCACACAUGAGCGUUCUAUCACAGCUUCCUUCGUCUUCCCAGGUGGGCCCAAGUUCCCUUUACUGCCUCGGCAGGAGGAGGGUUUUCUCCUUGCCCACCAGUCGCCUGGCAGGUGCGAAACCGGGCACCGUCCUGAACUCUGGCUUUCCCCCAAGAGACUGUGGCUCAAAGUGGCCCCUCCUCCCUACCUCCUUUUCCCUCUGUAAUGUUCCUCUCCUUUGUUUUUCAGACUCUGCCUAUGGUUCGCAGUAGUUUGGGGGUGCCAAAUCGCAAUUCUUCUGCUAUUCCUGAACAAACUAAUUUUGCUGCCUGAGGAACUCCCUUUAUCAUGGAAGGCUGGUCUAGUGGUGCUGAACUCCUUGAACCCUUGCUUGUCUGGUACUCUCUUGGUGUCUCCUUCAGUUCGGAAGGACAACAUUGCAGUUUGUGUGUUGUUUGGACCUCUCCAAGCAUCGAUGGAACUUAAUUUGAACCCUCAGGUAAGUCACUUUAAGGUCAUUUUUAACACUUACUUUCUGAGAGAGUGUGAGCAGGGGAAGGGCAGAAAGAGGG